UUCCAUAUGACUGGCGGAAGUGGGAGCACCCACAGGGAGUAUGGAGAAGUUGAUAGCCGACCGCCUGGGCACCU
RNAcentral lists this non-coding RNA (74 nucleotides) under uncultured Eubacterium sp. RNAcentral's name for it is "ZMP/ZTP riboswitch". It matches the Rfam family "ZMP/ZTP riboswitch aptamer (pfl RNA motif)". From Rfam's summary of the family: Previously known as pfl RNA. The record is from RNAcentral. Lineage: Bacteria; Bacillati; Bacillota; Clostridia; Eubacteriales; Eubacteriaceae.